This 208-nucleotide ribosomal RNA is filed under the name uncultured bacterium. RNAcentral's name for it is "partial 16S ribosomal RNA". It matches the Rfam family "Bacterial small subunit ribosomal RNA", at positions 529 to 733 of the family's 1533-position model. The record is from RNAcentral.
CGGAGGGCAGCGUUGCCGGAUUAUUGGGCGUAAAGAGCGUGUAGGCGGUUUGGGUAGGUCCGCCUGUGAAAACUCGGAGCUCAACCUCGAGACGCCGGUGGAAACCAUCAGACUAGAGUCCGGAAGAGGAGAGUGGGAAUUCCUGGUGUAGCGGUGAAAUGCGCAGAUAGUCAAGGAAGAACACCCGUGGCUAAGGCGGCUCUCUAGU